CCUACGGGAGGCAGCAGUGGGGAAUCUUGCGCAAUGGGCGAAAGCCUGACGCAGCCAUGCCGCGUGAAUGAUGAAGGUCUUAGGAUUGUAAAAUUCUUUCACCGGGGACGAUAAUGACGGUACCCGGAGAAGAAGCCCCGGCUAACUUCGUGCCAGCAGCCGCGGUAAUACGAAGGGGGCUAGCGUUGCUCGGAAUUACUGGGCGUAAAGGGAGCGUAGGCGGAUAGUUUAGUCAGAGGUGAAAGCCCAGGGCUCAACCUUGGAAUUGCCUUUGAUACUGGCUAUCUUGAGUACGGAAGAGGUAUGUGGAACUCCGAGUGUAGAGGUGAAAUUCGUAGAUAUUCGGAAGAACACCAGUGGCGAAGGCGACAUACUGGUCCGUUACUGACGCUGAGGCUCGAAAGCGUGGGGAGCAAACAGGAUUAGAUACCCUGGUAGUCCACGCUGUAAACGAUGAGUGCUAGUUGUCGGCAUGCAUGCAUGUCGGUGACGCAGCUAACGCAUUAAGCACUCCGCCUGGGGAGUACGGGUCGCAAGAUUAAAACUCAAAAGAGUAAGUGACGUGAGAGACGCGACGACGACGACGACGGAGGAGGAGG
Molecule: ribosomal RNA, 599 nt
Filed under: uncultured bacterium
Lineage: Bacteria
Description: bacterial SSU rRNA
Rfam family: Bacterial small subunit ribosomal RNA
Source: RNAcentral